RNAcentral lists this ribosomal RNA (872 nucleotides) under Melanops fagicola. RNAcentral's name for it is "Melanops sp. WJL-2020a partial large subunit ribosomal RNA". It matches the Rfam family "Eukaryotic large subunit ribosomal RNA", at positions 75 to 963 of the family's 3401-position model. The record is from RNAcentral. Lineage: Eukaryota; Fungi; Ascomycota; Dothideomycetes; Botryosphaeriales; Melanopsaceae.
UUGCCUUAGUAACGGCGAGUGAAGCGGCAACAGCUCAAAUUUGAAAUCUGGCCCCCUCGGGGUCCGAGUUGUAAUUUGUAGAGGAUGCUUCGGCGAGGGCUCCCGUCUAAGUUCCUUGGAACAGGACGUCGUAGAGGGUGAGAAUCCCGUAUGCGAUGGGUUGCCCGAGCCAUGUGAAGCUCCUUCGACGAGUCGAGUUGUUUGGGAAUGCAGCUCUAAAUGGGAGGUAAAUUUCUUCUAAAGCUAAAUACCGGCCAGAGACCGAUAGCGCACAAGUAGAGUGAUCGAAAGAUGAAAAGCACUUUGGAAAGAGAGUUAAAAAGUACGUGAAAUUGUUGAAAGGGAAGCGCUUGCAGCCAGACUCGUCCGCAGUUGCUCAGCCGGUCUCCUGACCGGUGUACUCUUCUGCGGCCGGGCCAGCAUCAGUUCGGGCGGUCGGAUAAAGGUCCCGGGAAUGUAGCUCCUCUCGGGGAGUGUUAUAGCCCGGGGCGGAAUGCGGCCAGCCCGGACUGAGGAUCUCGCUUCGGCUAGGAUGCUGGCGUAAUGGCUGUAAGCGGCCCGUCUUGAAACACGGACCAAGGAGUCUAACAUCUACGCGAGUGUUUGGGUGUCAAACCCAAGCGCGUAAUUAAAGUGAACGGAGGUGGGAACCCCUCGCGGGGCGCACCAUCGACCGAUCCUGAUGUCUUCGGAUGGAUUUGAGUAAGAGCGUAGCUGUUGGGACCCGAAAGAUGGUGAACUAUGCCUGAAUAGGGUGAAGCCAGAGGAAACUCUGGUGGAGGCUCGCAGCGGUUCUGACGUGCAAAUCGAUCGUCAAAUUUGGGUAUAGGGGCGAAAGACUAAUCGAACCAUCUAGUAGCUGGGUCCUGCCG